This 497-nucleotide ribosomal RNA is filed under the name uncultured bacterium. RNAcentral's name for it is "partial 16S ribosomal RNA". It matches the Rfam family "Bacterial small subunit ribosomal RNA", at positions 28 to 507 of the family's 1533-position model. The record is from RNAcentral.
GAUGAACGCUGGCGGCGUGCCUAAUACAUGCAAGUCGAGCGAACAGACGAGGAGCUUGCUCCUCUGACGUUAGCGGCGGACGGGUGAGUAACACGUGGAUAACCUACCUAUAAGACUGGGAUAACUUCGGGAAACCGGAGCUAAUACCGGAUGAUAUAUUGAACCGCAUGGUUCAAUAGUGAAAGACGGUUUUGCUGUCACUUAUAGAUGGAUCCGCGCCGCAUUAGCUAGUUGGUAAGGUAACGGCUUACCAAGGCAACGAUGCGUAGCCGACCUGAGAGGGUGAUCGGCCACACUGGAACGGAGACACGGUCCAGACUCCUACGGGAGGCAGCAGUAGGGAAUCGUACGCAAUGGGCGAAAGCCUGACGGAGCAACGCCGCGUGAGUGAUGAAGGUCUUCGGAGCGGAAAACUCUGUUAUUAGGGAAGAACAAAUGUGUAAGUAACUAUGCACGUCUUGACGGUACCUAAUCAGAAAGCAACGGCUAACUACGUG